UCUGACGUCACGGUUUCCAAGGCUGGUUAAUGGAGCACAGAGCAGGAAGAUAGGAGCCGCGCAUGCGUACUAUGUGUUCUUUCAACUUAGUAGCGGCAAGAUGACGGACCAGGAAGCUACGGAGCAAAGCCAGGUACAGUUAGCGGAUAUCCUAAACACGGCACACAGUCUUGUGUCAUUAUUAAACCGAAGGUUAGGCUCUUCAGGGACUGUGAGGCCAGUUGCACAAGAAAGUGAAAGACAGUCUGUUGAGGGACAGUCGAGGCAAACAGAGACAGGUCCACAGUCAGGACAGCUAAGAUGUCCUCAGCGCAGUGGUUCAGUUCAUCAAGAAAUGGCUCGAUCAUUUCCUGGACUUUUUCGCCGAGAGACAAAAGGGAAAAGACGUUUUACA
Long non-coding RNA from Cyprinodon tularosa, 394 nucleotides. RefSeq lists it as uncharacterized. Lineage: Eukaryota; Metazoa; Chordata; Actinopteri; Cyprinodontiformes; Cyprinodontidae. The transcript is spliced from 3 exons. The record is from RefSeq and is a predicted model, not a curated record.